Molecule: unclassified non-coding RNA, 1842 nt
Filed under: Hevea brasiliensis (rubber tree)
Lineage: Eukaryota; Viridiplantae; Streptophyta; Magnoliopsida; Malpighiales; Euphorbiaceae
Source: RNAcentral
AAAUGAAUAACUUCCGUGGCAGAACUUGCAAUCACGCGAAACUAAAAAUCACAGGAACAAAACUUGCCUUUAUUGGACUUCUUCCCGGUUUCGUACUCUGCAGCGAUUGCUAGUAUUGCAAAACGCAGAAAAGAUGCCGGAGGAGACCAAUUCCAUAGACUACGUCAUGGAGAAGGCAUCGGGCCCUCACUUCUCCGGCCUACGGCUCGACGGCCUCCUCUCAUCUCGGCCUUCCUCCGCUACUAAUACACCAGCUCACCGCACUUCUUCCGCUUCUGUUUCUGCUUCUCCUCUUGCUCCUAAACAGCCCUUUGUCAUCGGAGUAUCUGGAGGCACUGCUUCGGGUAAGACUACAGUAUGUGACAUGAUCAUUCAACAGCUUCACGAUCACCGGGUUGUGCUUGUCAAUCAGGAUUCAUUUUACCGUGGUUUGACACCUGCAGAAUUGGAACGUGUCCAUGAGUAUAAUUUUGACCAUCCUGAUGCAUUUGACACUGACCAGCUUGUAGACUGCAUUCAAAAGCUCAGAAGUGGACAACCUUAUCAAGUUCCAAUUUAUGAUUUUAAAAGCCAUCGUCGUUGUUCAGAUAGUUUUAGGCAGGUAAAUGCUUCUGAUGUAAUUAUCUUGGAAGGAAUUCUGGUUUUCCAUGACCAGCGUGUCCGCAACCUGAUGAAUAUGAAGAUUUUUGUUGACACAGAUGCGGAUGUAAGGCUUGCUCGGAGAAUAAGGCGUGACACAGUUGAGAGGGGUAGGGACAUAAACUCUGUUCUUGAGCAGUAUGCAAAAUUUGUGAAGCCGGCUUUUGAUGAUUUUGUGUUGCCAUCAAAGAAGUACGCAGAUGUGAUCAUACCCCGGGGAGGUGAUAAUCAUGUUGCCAUUGAUUUGAUAGUACAACAUAUCCGCACAAAACUUGGUCAACAUGAUCUUUGCAAAAUAUAUCCAAAUGUUUAUGUUAUUCAGUCAACAUUUCAGAUAAGAGGUAUGCAUACAUUGAUUCGAGACAAGGAUAUAUCAAAGCAUGAUUUUGUAUUUUAUUCAGAUCGGCUUAUCCGUUUGGUUGUGGAGCAUGGUCUUGGACAUUUGCCAUUCACAGAGAAGCAAGUAAUUACGCCAACAGGAUCUGUGUACACUGGGGUUGACUUUUGCAAGAAACUAUGUGGGAUUUCCAUUGUUCGUAGUGGAGAAAGCAUGGAAAAUGCACUGCGUGCAUGUUGCAAAGGAAUAAAAAUUGGAAAAAUUCUUAUUCAUCGUGAUGGAGACAAUGGGAAACAGCUUAUAUAUGAGAAGCUUCCCAAGGAUAUUCCAGAAAGACAUGUCCUACUUCUAGAUCCUGUUCUUGCUACAGGUAACUCUGCCAACCAAGCAAUAGAACUACUCAUACAGAAAGGAGUUCCAGAAUCACACAUUAUAUUCCUAAACCUAAUCUCUGCUCCUGAGGGUAUCCAUUGCGUUUGCAAAAGGUUCCCAUCCUUGAAAAUUGUCACCUCAGAGAUUGAUGCUGCAUUAAAUGAAGAGUUUCGAGUCAUACCAGGUAUGGGCGAGUUUGGCGAUCGGUACUUUGGCACCGAUGACUAAUCCGUUAUAAGGCAAACAGAAAUAAUGACCAAUUAAUUAAUGUGCAAGUGUCUUGAACUAGCUUCUUGUCUGAGAAAAUGAAGAGAUAAGUUAUUCAGCUUAUCUUAUGCUAGACAUUUGCCUGCACAAGGCUCCGGUUUUUUAGUUAUUAAACUGUUAUUAUGUAAACUAUAAGAUAAACUAUAAGAUGUCGCGUUAUUAUGUUAAUUGCAAUUUCAAAUGUUUAUACUUAUUGGCUUCAAAUUAAAGAAUUUUGCUUGCAGCUG